This 445-nucleotide ribosomal RNA is filed under the name uncultured bacterium. Its description in RNAcentral is "partial 16S ribosomal RNA". It matches the Rfam family "Bacterial small subunit ribosomal RNA", at positions 354 to 796 of the family's 1533-position model. The record is from RNAcentral.
GUGAGGAAUAUUGGUCAAUGGUCGGAAGACUGAACCAGCCAUGCCGCGUGCAGGAAGACGGUCCUAUGGAUUGUAAACUGCUUUUAUUCGGGGAUAAACCUCCUUACGUGUAGGGAGCUGAAGGUACCGAAAGAAUAAGCACCGGCUAACUCCGUGCCAGCAGCCGCGGUAAUACGGAGGGUGCAAGCGUUAUCCGGAAUCAUUGGGUUUAAAGGGUCCGCAGGCGGGAUUGUAAGUCAGUGGUGAAAUCCGGCAGCUCAACUGUCGCACUGCCAUUGAUACUGCAGUCCUUGAAUUCGAUUGGAGUGGGCGGAAUAUGUCAUGUAGCGGUGAAAUGCUUAGAUAUGACAUAGAACACCGAUAGCGAAGGCAGCUCACUAAGUCUGAAUUGACGCUCAUGGACGAAAGCGCGGGUAGCAAACAGGAUUAGAAACCCGGGUAGUCC